AGCAAUUUCCAGUCAAUCAAUAGUCAAAUUUCGAGUAAAUUUCAGGGAAAGAUAGCUCCAAUUUUGAUUUUUGACAAAUUGCACACACGCAGAGUCUUGUCUUGAAGCUUUUUAUAUACAGGUUCACACCCAGAAAUUGCCCCUCUUCUCUUUUAUGUGGGUGAUGCUCUGAAGCCUAAAUGGAGAAGUUGAAUCGGAUUCCACUCAGAGAACGGCAGUGCGACGGGGAGGAGGAUGAUCGGAGCAUGGUGCAGGUCGAUGGUGGUGAGCUUGACGGUGGAUUCGAUGGAGGAGAGGAGGAGGAGGGCGUGAUGAAUGGAAUGGAAGAAGUGGCGCAAAUGAGUUCGAUGGAUUUUAAGAGUAAUAAUGGUUGUAUGGUUCAAUCAUCUAGGACCAGUGAGCUUACCAUCGCUUUUGAAGGCGAGGUCUAUGUUUUCCCUGCGGUUACGCCUCAAAAAGUGCAAGCAGUGCUGUUACUUCUGGGAGGGGCUGAUACACCUGCCAGUGUACCAAGUUCUGAAUUUUUGCUGCAACAGAAUGCUGGAGUAUAUCAUAGUGUGGGUGAUGCUUCUCGAGGAUCAAAACUUUCUCGAAGAAUUGCCUCCCUGGUAAGGUUCCGUGAAAAGCGUAAAGGAAGAUGCUUUGAAAAGAAAAUUCGGUACAAUUGCCGGAAAGAAGUUGCCGAGAGAAUGCAUCGUAAAAAUGGACAAUUUGCAUCACUGAAGGACUGUUACAACACAGAUGCUGGUAGCAACUGGGAACCAAGCAAUGGCACUCCUCAUUCUGAAUCUAUUUUAUGUAGAUGUCAACACUGUGGGAUUAGUGAGAAGGACACUCCAGCAAUGCGUCGGGGCCCAGCUGGUCCAAGAACUCUCUGCAAUGCUUGUGGCCUUAUGUGGGCAAAUAAGGGCACUUUAAGGGAUCUUACCAAGGGAGGGAGGCAUAUUUCUUUUGAUCAAAAUGAGCUGGGAACUCCUGAUUUUAAACCUUCAACUAUGGAACAAGAAAACCCUUAUCCUAACCAGGAUGAAGAGGUAUGGUUUCUUAUAUCAAUUGACAUGAAUAGACACGAAGCAAACUAACAGCAAAAUAAUCUGGCAUCACUAUGGUACAUCAUUGUAUUGCUCUCACUGCUACUUGUGUGUAUAGUGAUAAAUUGUGGGAUAAAUCCACAUCAAAAAAUUCUUGUUUAUCUAAAACAGCAGCCUGAACUUUGAUCAGUGAUGCUUCAUUUGUUUAAUCUUCAGGGGAGCCCAGAAGAGAAUAAGCCAGCACCGUUACAUUCUGAGAGUUCUUUGAGACCAAAUGAUCAGGUAAUAUCUUUUUCUAGGCUUGAAAUUGACUUGACAUGACAUGAAUUAUUAACAAGUUUUCAUGUUGCAAUUGGGUCGACAUUAUAAUGACAUAAGCAUGAUACCUAAACCCGAAACCACUAAUUUUGUGUCAGGUUCUUGCAUGUCCAAUAACCCCUAGUCCUGGUUGCCAUGUUGUGGGAUCAAGGUGUUGUCAAAGUGUAAUAGUUGCAACGAUAGUUGCCUAAUUCGCUCGUUCCCCUUACUAACCACAAUCUGGACGCUUCCCAGAAAGUAGUAUAUAUUGGCAUUCUGGAUCAUCUUGGUAGCUAUCUGGAUCCCUAAAACUGGUGUUCCGGUUCUUGCUUUCCAUUUGAUUUAGCAAGUAUGUUUCCCACGGCAAUGCUAAUAAAAAAGAAACAAGGACAAUAAGGUUUUGAUAAGGGAAAGUAGCAGUACACUGAAGAAGAAUAAGCAGAAGUGUAAUGGAAAUGGAGACUACGAUUAAAUUGACGUUAGGUGAGAUUGGGUGUGAUUUAUUGCUUAUUUAUUAUGGGGAAGUGGGAAGGGUUAGUCUUGUGGCUGUUUCUAAUAAUUUUUAGUAAGUAAAUGCCAGAUAUUAUAAAAAAAGACUAAUAUAUUGGGUUAGGGGCCAAUUAAUAUAUUAACUACUAAUUUGUAUUCGCUAAUUUAUUGGUGUACCCCAUAGUCUAAUAGUAAAACUCUUUUUGGGCUCUCUUUUUAUUAAUAUUAAUCUUGUAAAAUAUAUACAUCAUAAUUCUUUUUUGAAAAAAUAAAAGGAAAUUAUUAUUUGAUUAGGUUUUUUAGACUUGGGGAUUAUAUUAGUUAAGUUUAAUUCAUGUACCUGAACCAAAUUGAUAUAGUUCACAUACCACAUUCUGAAUUGGUGUACAAGCUAAACCUACCCCGUGUAUCCUGUAUCUAGCUAAGUGAUGUAUUACGUACUGUAUGCCAUACCACGAUCCAAAAUGUACUAUGUUCCAGGUAACUAUGGUUGUGACUAGUGUUUCUACAAAUUCUUUUGGUUAUUAGCUUGCAAAAAUGUAUUAUCUAUAGUGUAACAGCCAUGUGGCCUAUUUCACAUGUGAUUCUUGAAUAACUUCCCUGAAAUGGCCAGUAACAUAAAAGAUAAGCAAAUCAGUGGCCGUUGACCAUGUUGUCAUAAGAUGACAUUUGAUUAUUGGCAAUAUUGACUUUAGCCAGACUACAUUAUGUGUCAAGAAUAAUGUUUCCAGAACAUGAUGCCUGAAAAAGUUAGGAAGGCGUGAUUAGUUGCAACUCCUUUCUAGUUUCUACUAACCUAUUAAUUGUUGAUCUUUCCUUUGGGGUUUAGAAGUUGGAAUUUUUAUUAAAUUUCAAAAGGCAUGAUACAGGGAAGGUUGAAUGCUUGUAUACUUAUUUUAUCCGAGCAAGACCAUGCAACCUAAGAGGCUGCAUGCUUUUAGUGGGGAAUGGACCGGUUACUUUUCAUAGAAAUGCAAUUCCCUGGUUACCAGACCUAGUUGACAUUAAAAAUGUAGCUUUCUUGUUAUCCCCAAUUAGAUGGUCAUGGUUUCAUAUUCCUGUUUAUGGUUUUGAAUGUCCAAUCCACUUUGUGGAAGAUUUGCUUUUGGUUUGGAUAUCAGUUUCACAUUUCCUAUGCGCAGGAGUUGCUGGAAACUGAUGAAACUCUCGCUGAUCCUUUGCCUAUGCAUGUGGAAAAUUCAUCAGUCAACCUAGAUGAUGAGGUAAUGAACUGGAUGCUGAAUAAGUACUUAAGCCCCAUAGGUUUACUGAUAACAAUGCCACUGGAAUGGUGAUUUUGACUUUCGAUCAAGUCUGUGGUGUUCUAGGACAAGUAUAUCAAUUGAUUAAAGUGACGCUAACACACUCGUGAAUUUGCCAGACAUAAUAACUUCUACAAGAAAAAAAGGAGCACUAAUACGUUGUAAUUUAUAUUGUCUUGAUAAAAUGUACAACUCAUCUUUGUCUUUGUUGAAAGAUAUUUUGAGUAGGGUCUUAGUGGCAUGAACAUAAUCUUUUUUGGUGACAAUUUAACUUAACAUUUAUUCAGGACUUCCAGGGCACUUUGGAUGAGCUUGGCAAUGUUUCAGGUUCAGAAUUUGAGAUCCCUGGGAAUUUUGAUGAUCAGGUAGUGGUCUUUUAGCAAAUUGACAUGAAGCAUAUUGGAGACUAACCAUAUAUCCUUCAGCUAGGUUAAAUGCUGUAAAUGUUAGUUACUUCUCCAAGUUCAUGAUACCAACUUACAGGUUGAGCUUGAUGAUUCUAAUACGAGUGAGUGGCCAGGAACUUGAGAUCAUGCUGUGCGCCUGUGACCUUAAUCCUUUAUGUAUAUGUGUCCAGUUUCUUGCCAUGGAUCAAGUUGCAGUUUAUACUAACUAAUAUUAGAAAUCCAGAGAUAGUUCUUGUUUAUAAAGACAGAUUUUUGUGUAUGCAAGUUUUCGGAAUUUACAAUAUGAAUAAUGUUGCCCUUUUCUUGGUUUUUAUGUUUGCUUACUUCAGAUCAUAUUCAAGCCCUUUACUUAGCAGUGUGUCUCUUCUCUGACCUGGAGCUUUUGUUUGUAUUUUUCUUCAAUACAAAUAAUAGAAAAUAUUUUAAUG
This 3914-nucleotide unclassified non-coding RNA is filed under the name Hevea brasiliensis (rubber tree). Lineage: Eukaryota; Viridiplantae; Streptophyta; Magnoliopsida; Malpighiales; Euphorbiaceae. The record is from RNAcentral.